This 266-nucleotide ribosomal RNA is filed under the name uncultured bacterium. Its description in RNAcentral is "partial 16S ribosomal RNA". It matches the Rfam family "Bacterial small subunit ribosomal RNA", at positions 793 to 1055 of the family's 1533-position model. The record is from RNAcentral.
GUCCACGCCGUAAACGAUGAUAACUAGCUGUCCGGGUUCAUAGAACUUGGGUGGCGCAGCUAACGCAUUAAGUUAUCCGCCUGGGGAGUACGGUCGCAAGAUUAAAACUCAAAGGAAUUGACGGGGGCCUGCACAAGCGGUGGAGCAUGUGGUUUAAUUCGAAGCAACGCGCAGAACCUUACCAGCGUUUGACAUCCUGAUCGCGGAUUAGAGAGAUCUUUCCUUCAGUUCGGCUGGAUCAGUGACAGGUGCUGCAUGGCUGUCGU